CGAGUAAAAGUAUGCAGUUCGCAGUAUCAGUAAAAAAUAGUGGGUAGUGAACUUUUUUUUGUAUUCCGUGUUGUAACCGUGAGGUCGCUUGUAAAAUUAUUUAUCACUUACUUUGGUAAGACCCCAACCUGUAGCCCUUGCGAGAACCCCACCGCCUACAAAAUCGCCCCCAAGGGCCACUGGAGAGAUGACCUCGGUGAACUUGAUUUCUAAUGCAGUAAUGAUUAGACCAAGGUCGUGUAUUCUCAUGGUGUGGUUAUAUCCAGGGUGCCUAAUAGACUUCGUAACAGAAUAUUUUGUUCCU
Molecule: long non-coding RNA, 304 nt
Organism: Pectinophora gossypiella (pink bollworm)
Lineage: Eukaryota; Metazoa; Arthropoda; Insecta; Lepidoptera; Gelechiidae
Exons: 2
Source: RefSeq, a predicted model, not a curated record